GACGAACGCUGGCGGCGUGCUUAACACAUGCAAGUCGAACGAAGUGGCGAACGGGUGAGUAACGCGUAAUCAACCUGCCCUUCAGAGGGGGACAACAGUUGGAAACGACUACUCAUACCCCAUACUGAAGGAGGGGAUUGCGUCUGAUUAGCUAGUUGGGGGGGUAACGGCCCACCAAGGCGAUGAUCAGUAGCCGGUCUGGGGGGAUGAACGGCCAAAAUGGGACUGAGACACGGCCCAGACUCCUACGGGAGGCAGCAGUGGGGAAUCUUCCGCAAUGGACGGAAGUCUGACGGAGCAACGCCGGGUGAGUGAUGACGGCCUUCGGGUUGUAAAGCUCUGUUAAUCGGGACGCGGUACCGGAAUAGAAAGCCACGGCUAACUACGUGCCAGCCGCCGCGGUAAUAC
This 408-nucleotide ribosomal RNA is filed under the name uncultured bacterium. RNAcentral's name for it is "partial 16S ribosomal RNA". It matches the Rfam family "Bacterial small subunit ribosomal RNA", at positions 28 to 526 of the family's 1533-position model. The record is from RNAcentral.